This 253-nucleotide ribosomal RNA is filed under the name uncultured bacterium. RNAcentral describes it as "partial 16S ribosomal RNA". It matches the Rfam family "Bacterial small subunit ribosomal RNA", at positions 524 to 776 of the family's 1533-position model. The record is from RNAcentral.
GACGUAGGGGGCCAGCGUUGUUCGGAAUUACUGGGUGUAAAGGGUUCGUAGGCGGUGUGGCAAGUCGGGAGUGAAAUCUCUGGGCUCAACUCAGAGACUGCUUCCGAAACUGCUGUGCUGGAGUGUGGGAGAGGCGCGUGGAAUUGCAGGUGUAGCGGUGAAAUGCGUAGAUAUCUGCAGGAACACCCGUGGCGAAGGCGGCGCGCUGGACCACUACUGACGCUGAGGAACGAAAGCUAGGGGAGCAAACAGG